Molecule: ribosomal RNA, 460 nt
Filed under: uncultured bacterium
Lineage: Bacteria
Description: partial 16S ribosomal RNA
Rfam family: Bacterial small subunit ribosomal RNA
Source: RNAcentral
CCUACGGGCGGCAGCAGUGAGGAAUAUUGGUCAAUGGGCGGAAGCCUGAACCAGCCAAGUAGCGUGCAGGAUGACGGCCCUACGGGUUGUAAACUGCUUUUAUACGGGAAUAACGCGCCUUACGUGUAGGGCUUUGCAUGUACCGUAUGAAUAGGGCCGGGUUAAUUCGGUGCAACCAGCCGCGGUAUUCCGGAAGGUCCGGUCGUUAGCGGGAUUUAGUGGGUUUAAGGGGGGCGGAGGCGGCAUGUCAAGCGUGCUGUGAAAUGUCCGGGCUCAACCCGGGCCUUGCAGCGCGAACUGGCGUGCUUGAGUCCGCGGAAAGCAGGCGGAAUUCGUCGGGUAGCGGUGAAAUGCUUAGAUAUGACGAAGAACCCCGAUUGCGAAGGCAGCUUGCUGCAGCGGAACUGACGCUGAUGCUCGAAAGCGCGGGUAUCGAACAGGAUUAGAUACCCCGGUAGUC